UAGCGGAGGGGGCUAGCGUUGAUUCGGAAUUACUGGGCGUAAAGCGCACGUAGGUCGGCUUUGUAAGUUAGAGGUGAAAGCCCACGGGCUUAACCCUGGAAGUGCCUUUAGACUGCAUCGCUAGAAUUGUGGAGAGGGUAAGUGGAAUUCCGAGUGUAGAGGUGAAAUUCGUAGAUAUUCGGAAGAACACCAGUGGCGAAGGCGGACUUACUGGACACAUAUUGACGCUGAGGUGCGAAAGCGUGGGGAGCAAACAGG
This 258-nucleotide ribosomal RNA is filed under the name uncultured bacterium. Its description in RNAcentral is "partial 16S ribosomal RNA". It matches the Rfam family "Bacterial small subunit ribosomal RNA", at positions 523 to 776 of the family's 1533-position model. The record is from RNAcentral.